UUUACAACAAUAUAUGAAAUCUAAAACCCAGAACAAUGAAUGAAAAACAAAAGAAAAAUAUCAACUUUGCCCCACAAAAAGAAAAAAGAAGAUGAUGUUUGAAAUCAAUUCAUGUUACAAAAAAUUGUCAUGUGGAUGAACAUGAAGCGUGAGUGGCUUCGCCAGGAGAGAGAGUUGAUCGACGGAGGAGUGAGUUGGAACAGAGAG
Molecule: long non-coding RNA, 207 nt
Filed under: Trifolium pratense (red clover)
Lineage: Eukaryota; Viridiplantae; Streptophyta; Magnoliopsida; Fabales; Fabaceae
Description: long non-coding RNA (TPRA_LNC001543)
Source: RNAcentral